Molecule: ribosomal RNA, 497 nt
Filed under: uncultured bacterium
Lineage: Bacteria
Description: partial 16S ribosomal RNA
Rfam family: Bacterial small subunit ribosomal RNA
Source: RNAcentral
GAUGAACGCUGGCGGCGUGCCUAAUACAUGCAAGUCGAGCGAACGGACGAGGAGCUUGCUCCUCUGACGUUAGCGGCGGACGGGUGAGUAACACGUGGAUAACCUACCUAUAAGACUGGGAUAACUUCGGGAAACCGGAGCUAAUACCGGAUAAUAUAUUGAACCGCAUGGUUCAAUAGUGAAAGACGGUUUUGCUGUCACUUAUAGAUGGAUCCGCUCCGCAUUAGCUAGUUGGUAAGGUAACGGCUUACCAAGGCAACGAUGCGUAGCCGACCUGAGAGGGUGAUCGGCCACACUGGAACUGAGACACGGUCCAGACUCCUACGGGAGGCAGCAGUAGGGAAUCGUCCGCAAAGGGCGAAAGCUUGACGGAGCAACGCCGCGUGAGUGAUGAAGGUCUUCGGAUCGUAAAACUCUGUUAUUAGGGAAGAAAAAAUGUGUAAGUAACUAUGCACGUCUUGACGGUAACUAAUCAGAAAGCCACGGCUAACUACGUG